GGUUAACCGAAUAGGGGAGCCGAAGGGAAACCGAGUCUUAACUGGGCGUUAAGUUGCAGGGUAUAGACCCGAAACCCGGUGAUCUAGCCAUGGGCAGGUUGAAGGUUGGGUAACACUAACUGGAGGACCGAACCGACUAAUGUUGAAAAAUUAGCGGAUGACUUGUGGCUGGGGGUGAAAGGCCAAUCAAACCGGGAGAUAGCUGGUUCUCCCCGAAAGCUAUUUAGGUAGCGCCUCGUGAAUUCAUCUCCGGGGGUAGAGCACUGUUUCGGCAAGGGGGUCAUCCCGACUUACCAACCCGAUGCAAACUGCGAAUACCGGAGAAUGUUAUCACGGGAGACACACGGCGGGUGCUAACGUCCGUCGUGAAGAGGGAAACAACCCAGACCGCCAGCUAAGGUCCCAAAGUCAUGGUUAAGUGGGAAACGAUGUGGGAAGGCCCAGACAGCCAGGAUGUUGGCUUAGAAGCAGCCAUCAUUUAAAGAAAGCGUAAUAGCUCACUGGUCGAGUCGGCCUGCGCGGAAGAUGUAACGGGGCUAAACCAUGCACCGAAGCUGCGGCAGCGACACUGUGUGUUGUUGGGUAGGGGAGCGUUCUGUAAGCCUGUGAAGGUGUGCUGUGAGGCAUGCUGGAGGUAUCAGAAGUGCGAAUGCUGACAUAAGUAACGAUAAAGCGGGUGAAAAGCCCGCUCGCCGGAAGACCAAGGGUUCCUGUCCAACGUUAAUCGGGGCAGGGUGAGUCGACCCCUAAGGCGAGGCCGAAAGGCGUAGUCGAUGGGAAACAGGUUAAUAUUCCUGUACUUGGUGUUACUGCGAAGGGGGGACGGAGAAGGCUAUGUUGGCCGGGCGACGGUUGUCCCGGUUUAAGCGUGUAGGCUGGUUUUCCAGGCAAAUCCGGAAAAUCAAGGCUGAGGCGUGAUGACGAGGCACUACGGUGCUGAAGCAACAAAUGCCCUGCUUCCAGGAAAAGCCUCUAAGCAUCAGGUAACAUCAAAUCGUACCCCAAACCGACACAGGUGGUCAGGUAGAGAAUACCAAGGCGCUUGAGAGAACUCGGGUGAAGGAACUAGGCAAAAUGGUGCCGUAACUUCGGGAGAAGGCACGCUGAUAUGUAGGUGAAGUCCCUCGCGGAUGGAGCUGAAAUCAGUCGAAGAUACCAGCUGGCUGCAACUGUUUAUUAAAAACACAGCACUGUGCAAACACGAAAGUGGACGUAUACGGUGUGACGCCUGCCCGGUGCCGGAAGGUUAAUUGAUGGGGUCAGCGCAAGCGAAGCUCUUGAUCGAAGCCCCGGUAAACGGCGGCCGUAACUAUAACGGUCCUAAGGUAGCGAAAUUCCUUGUCGGGUAAGUUCCGACCUGCACGAAUGGCGUAAUGAUGGCCAGGCUGUCUCCACCCGAGACUCAGUGAAAUUGAACUCGCUGUGAAGAUGCAGUGUACCCGCGGCAAGACGGAAAGACCCCGUGAACCUUUACUAUAGCUUGACACUGAACAUUGAGCCUUGAUGUGUAGGAUAGGUGGGAGGCUUUGAAGUGUGGACGCCAGUCUGCAUGGAGCCGACCUUGAAAUACCACCCUUUAAUGUUUGAUGUUCUAACGUGGACCCGUGAUCCGGGUUGCGGACAGUGUCUGGUGGGUAGUUUGACUGGGGCGGUCUCCUCCUAAAGAGUAACGGAGGAGCACGAAGGUUGGCUAAUCCUGGUCGGACAUCAGGAGGUUAGUGCAAUGGCAUAAGCCAGCUUGACUGCGAGCGUGACGGCGCGAGCAGGUGCGAAAGCAGGUCAUAGUGAUCCGGUGGUUCUGAAUGGAAGGGCCAUCGCUCAACGGAUAAAAGGUACUCCGGGGAUAACAGGCUGAUACCGCCCAAGAGUUCAUAUCGACGGCGGUGUUUGGCACCUCGAUGUCGGCUCAUCACAUCCUGGGGCUGAAGUAGGUCCCAAGGGUAUGGCUGUUCGCCAUUUAAAGUGGUACGCGAGCUGGGUUUAGAACGUCGUGAGACAGUUCGGUCCCUAUCUGCCGUGGGCGCUGGAGAACUGAGGGGGGCUGCUCCUAGUACGAGAGGACCGGAGUGGACGCAUCACUGGUGUUCGGGUUGUCAUGCCAAUGGCACUGCCCGGUAGCUAAAUGCGGAAGAGAUAAGUGCUGAAAGCAUCUAAGCACGAAACUUGCCCCGAGAUGAGUUCUCCCUGACCCUUUAAGGGUCCUGAAGGAACGUUGAAGACGACGACGUUGAUAGGCCGGGUGUGUAAGCGCAGCGAUGCGUUGAGCUAACCGGUACUAAUGAACCGUGAGGCUUAACCUU
RNAcentral lists this ribosomal RNA (2300 nucleotides) under Escherichia coli. RNAcentral's name for it is "partial 23S ribosomal RNA". It matches the Rfam family "Bacterial large subunit ribosomal RNA", at positions 644 to 2925 of the family's 2925-position model. The record is from RNAcentral. Lineage: Bacteria; Pseudomonadati; Pseudomonadota; Gammaproteobacteria; Enterobacterales; Enterobacteriaceae.